Molecule: long non-coding RNA, 2177 nt
Filed under: Pan troglodytes (chimpanzee)
Lineage: Eukaryota; Metazoa; Chordata; Mammalia; Primates; Hominidae
Description: long non-coding RNA NONPTRT004850
Source: RNAcentral
CAAAAGUGCUGGGAUUACAGGUGUGAGCCACCGCACCUGACCUGCUUGUUCAUUUUCUUAAAAGUGGAUGAUGACAGGUUCUUACUCUGUCACCCAGGCUGAAGUGCAAUGGAUCUAUCUCGGCUCACUGCAGCCUUGACCUCCCAGGCUCAGGUGAUCAUUCCACCUCAGCCUCCUGAGUAGUUGGGACUACAGGCACAUGGCACCACGUCCAGCUAGUUUUUGUAUUUUUUUUGUAGAGACGAGGUUUCACCAUGUUGCCCCGGCUGGGCUUGAACUCCUGGCCUCAAGCGAUCCACUCGCCUUGGCCUCCCAAAGUGCUAGAAUUACAGGCAUGAGGUACUGAGCCUGGCUUGACUUAUAAUUCUGAUGAAAAUGUUCAAUGUCAACUUAAGAAUGGGCAAGGGAGCACAUGGGCUUUUGGAAUUCUUUUUUUUUUUUUUUUUUUUGAGAUGGAGUCUUGCUCUGUCACCCAGGCUGGAGUGCAGUGGCAUGAUCUCGGCUCACUGCAACCUCCGCCUCCCGGGUUCAAGCGAUUCUCCUGCCCCAGCCUCCCAAGUAGCUGAGAUUACAGGCAUGCACCAACACGCCCAGCUAAUUUUGUAUUUUUAGUAGAGAUGUGGUUUCACCGUGUUGGUCAGGCUGGCCUCGAACUUCUGACCUCAAGUGAUCUACCCACCUCGGCCUCCCAAAGUGCUGGGAUUACAGGUGUGAGCCACCGCGCCCGGCCACUUUUGAAAUUCUUUCAGGAGAUUCCCGAGUGAAAUGUCUGAAGACUGCUGCCUUGGGAACAGGAGCCAUGGGACACUUGCUGCCUCCGGCUGCCGGCGGAUUUGGGUUUUCCCUCCUCUCAUCCUUCUCUCCCAGCCACACUCAGGCCUGGGGCUCCAUUCUGCUGCCCACAAGGUACGAAGUGGGUUAGAAGCAGCAAGGGGACCCACAGGCAAAAAUACUCCUGGGAGACAGUGGCGAGGGGCACAUGUUCCCCGGGGCUACUAGGAAGUGGCCCCAGAUAACGUCUCAGCUGAUGACAGACUUUUAAUCACUAAAAGGGUGCAUUCUGGGAAUUUCCUCAGGGACAGGAGAUGAUGGCCAGACAGCGGACUGGCUGCCUGUCAGGGCACAGCCCCACUCCAUCCGGAACAACAUGGGGAGUGAGCGACGGGGUGGGAGGAAGGGAGGGAGCAUCAGCCCUGAAGUCACCAGGCAUGUCUGGGCUCUGCGUCCCAGGGCUGUGGCUGUUGGCCCAGAAGCAAGAAGAAAGGUGUCCCUGUUGCCUGGCCCCUGGCAGGGGACAGGGCCUCAGUCUUCACUGGGAACAGUGGGUAGAGACAUGGGACAGCAUGGUAGCAGUCAGCUUUGGGGCCAGGACAUGCUACCCUCAGCUGGUUCCUCCCUUGGGAGCCAGGGCAAGGUACCAGGGCCUCUUGGGACUGUCUGGUUGUACCUCUCCAUAUUGGGCAAGUGACAGACACUCUUGGAACCUCAGUCUCUUCAUCUGCCUGCCCCAAAAGAGUGGCUGUCAGUGCAAAGGGGAUGGAGAAGGUGACUCUGGGUCACCACCCAGCAUUGCACCCAGGAGGGUUCAUUACCGAGCUCCUGUUAUAUGGCUAAGCUCUGGCUUGGAGGGAUGGGUGGAAACAAGUUGAGGCAGGGUCUCCAACACUCCAACAAAAGGGGCAGCCAUAGCCCUGCCCAGGAGGCAAGGCUAAGCCUGGGGGCUAUUAGAAAAGUGGUCAUGGCUGUGAAAGGUAGCCUGAAAAACGAAGGCUUACGAGUUAGGUCAGGGCCCAGAAUCCCUCCUCCCACACUCACUAGCUGUGAUAAAUCAUGAAACUGUAUUGAGCCUUGAUUUUCUCAUCUGUAAAAUGGGGAUGACAAUAGGGCCUACCUCCCAGGGUUGUUAUGAGAGCAGGAACCUUGCUCACCACUGCAUCCCAUCAGGACAAUGCCUGGCAUGUGGUAGGUGCUCAAUAAAUGUAUGUGACUAAAUGAGAAACAUUCAAGUGCCUCCUGCGGGGCUAGGCACAGAAUAGGUACACAAUAACUGGUAGUCCUUCCCUCCUGCCGCCCCUGGCUAGGGCUCUGGACUUCUAGUCUGGUGCCUUCAUCCAUGGCCCAGUAGUACCAGGAGCAGCAGCUCAGCCCAUUUCUCUCUUCCCUGAACCUAGUUGGCA